Lagenorhynchus albirostris (white-beaked dolphin) is the source of this 6398-nucleotide long non-coding RNA. RefSeq lists it as uncharacterized. NCBI's taxonomy places the organism in Eukaryota, Metazoa, Chordata, Mammalia, Artiodactyla, Delphinidae. The transcript is spliced from 2 exons. The record is from RefSeq and is a predicted model, not a curated record.
GGUUAUCAGCUACUUCUCUAUUUUGUUGCCGUAUUUUUCUGUCCUGAUAGAAUCUGAGUGCCUUCUACAAGCUACAGCUUAAGCUCUAUUUUGUUGCUGAAUUUUGUUGAAGCUUUAAGUGAAUACUCUGCCUUCAUUUAAAAGCUGAUCUUGAGGAUUCUGGUAUCUGGGAGAAAGCUUUUUAGUCAUUUUUAAAGCAUCCCUUAUAAAGUCACCCCCCUUAUCCCUAGAUUCAGGUAUUCAAUAUUUUAGAGAGAGUAUGGUCUUUAUUCUUUCCCACCAUGUCUGCCUGUUCAAGUACUACAUCAAGGCUCAGUUCAAAUGCUCUCUCAGGAGACCUUUCCUCUCCCGUGUCUAUUCUUUAACCCUUAUUACAUUUUGUGUUUAUAUAUAUCUCAAUCCCCGAUUGAGAGCAGGGGCUACAUCUUAAUCAGCUUUGUCCUCCCCAUGGUGCUAAGCCAGUGCCUUGAGCAUAGAGAAGCAUCUGCUGCCCCCCAUGGAAGUGUUUGUCCUCAGUAAGCCUGUCAGUGGCUUCAGAAAUCAAAGAACUAGGAACUUUACAACUAUUAAGCAACCCUAGAAGUACUUUACAAGAAUGAUUUUCAACAUUAUUAACAUUUCAAAUUUUAUAAUUAGCAGUUAUAAAUCUGCCAGUGCAGAGUCCUGUGAUCACAAAACUAAAUUAUCUCGUUUCACUUUGACACUAAAGUACAGUAAGACACCCACUGCAGCCUGGUGUUCUGCAUUUUUGCCUCUUCCCCAUCCGACCCCUGCCCACACUAUAUGCUCUAGCUCAUGAGUCAUCUUGUUAUUUGUGUGGUAAAGAAAUGUACUAUUCCUGACAUGAAGCUACAUGGGCAAUUUUCAAGUAGUUUUCAAAAUUGGCUAUGUGGACUGAUUUUUUGUCAGUCAGAGAAGGAAUUAUCUGUUUUUGUAGGAAUGUCCAGUUCACGCAGGCUGGAGAGCCUGCCGCUAUCAUUUCUCUCUAUCAAGGACUCUUUUAACAGGGUUUGAUUUUCUCAUUCAGUUGCAGUAGUGGCCAGUAUGUAAUGGUACUGAAGAGGUACCGCAGCCAAAACUUACUUGCUGAGGAAAUGCUGGUCUGGGAGACGCAGCUCAAGCAUUGAUUUUUUUUUCAGUAUUCUAUGGGAAAGAAACACCACAUUCAGAGGAGUUUGAGGCAGUCAGUGAGCUGUAGAAAAGCCAGGUUUAAAACGUAACAGCCUCUUUCUCUCGUAGGUUUCGUUUCAUUUUUCUACAUCUUUAAGUGAGGGACUGAAAUUAGAUUUAUAGGGUUCUUCCUUAAAUACUUUAUUUUUCCUUUGCUUAACAGAAAUACUAAUAUGCUUUCAAAGUAACUUUCUGAAAAUGUUCUUAUUUACAUAAUGGUUAACAUGAUAAAGGGAAUGUGUCAUGGGGACUUGACCUUACACAAUUGUAGGAAGUGGCAAAGUGUAGUCUGUCAGUUUUCUAGUCUGAUGCUGGAACUUGAAGCCCACAGGACAGGCAGUCAGAAAGGAUGUAGAGUUGGGAAGAACAGGAACAAGCUGGAACCCAGAGGCAUGAGCUGCAGCCCACAAGGACACAUUAAAAUCUCAGUUCUUGCCUCUGACCUUGAUGGUGUGGGGAGACCCUUCAUCAGAGAAGCUGAAGGAAGAGCCAGGGACGGUGGAGCAGUUGGAGGCGCAGACGUGGAAUCACACUGAGAAGGUGAGCCAGCAGUUGUCAACAUCGGCUCUAGGCCCUGAAAGUCAAGAUGAAGAAUGAAAUGCUGAGGAAAAGCAACUUCUUCAUCACUGGGUACCUUCAGUGGAGAAAACUGACAUGCGAGUUACACCAUCCUUCACAGUCUAAGAGGUACCACUGUAAAUGAUGUAACUAAUAGCAGCACCACAGUCUGGCUCUCAGGGAUUCUUUCCCCUUGGGCACCAGAAUCCUUUUUUGUAGUGUGUAGACGAUUCUGCUGUGUUGACAGACCAUGAACACACUGAGAUUAAGGAGAAUGUAAUAAACACAUUUUCAUGCUUGUGUAGGAUGCUACGACUUAGACUCAGUGCUCCAGAACUCUUAGAUGUUACCUACAACCAUGAGUCUCAAACUGUUUUCUAAGCUUGGCACACGUGGUGGUUUCACCUGCUCAGCCCUAUUCCCCGGGGCUUCCUGGGGUUAUGCCGCUAAGAAGGUGUUAACUAGAACUUCACCCCUCUUGCUGGCACUUAACAAAAACACAUCAGAAAGCACGUGAGUGAAAGUAAUAUUAUAGGGAUGACUUUCAGUCUGCAGGAACUUAAAAGGCAAGCUUUGAAAUUUAAACCAUUAGCAACAGAGUAGUACUUGUAAUCCCACUUGAGUGUCACCACACUGUGGUUAAAAAAUUGUGCUCCCCAAAACAGUAUGCAUGUAAAUGCUCCCCCCCAUGUUGGUGAGGAAAGACAAUAUGAGAACUAGUGCUAGGUAUUUCUUUUUAGCUCAAGUUUUAAAAAUUAGUGUUUGUUUUAUAACAACUAAUAUUGAAUAUUAGUACAUGUGUAAAAUUUAUAGCUAAAUAUCCAUAUAAUGAGCAUUCGUGUUACAACUUUGUUUUUACUGAUUGGGGUACAAGAUCAAAAUUUUGAAACCAUCAACCUAAAAGAAAGUGCAACUCAUUUUCUUCAUUUAAGUUCAAAUUUUAGUACUCAAAGUUUUAGGAGAUUAAAAAAAGAUAAAGCCAAAUGCUUUUCCUAUUAAUGAGUAAAAUCCAAAAUAAAAGCUACUGCAAUACCUAAUAAUACACGUAAGAAAAGAGGAAGUUAACAGGGAGACAGCACUGGAAUGGAAUGAGAAUAGCAUCUUUCUACUAAAGAUGCAGUGCCACCUUACACCUAUCCAUGCACGCCCAUGCACAUGGGUAGCAGUUAUUAUAUAACCCCCUUGAACAGUUCAGGGGAAAAAGAAUGUAACAAAAUGGACAGCUUCUUGGCAUUUUGCCAUGGUCUUUAGUAUUUGGUCUCUUCAAGAAAGGCAGCUAGUUUGAUAGUCGACCCUACAAUAUUUAGGAAAUGAAAGCCAUAUGUGAGAUUAGAAAAUCAUAUAGUCAUAGUGGAGGCACAACUCCAGGAUGGAAGAGCAGUGGGCACCUGAAAACUACUGCACAUCUUCUUUACUGACCAGAAGUUUCUUGUGGCCACGUGGUUUUAGGCCAGGCUUUUCCCAAGGGAACAGACUACACAUCGCCUAGUCUAUACAGUCCACAGAGAGUCACAGUGGAACAAAGCCACAGGCAGUGGGAGGAAGUGCAAUGGGCCCAGAAUGAACAGGGUGUAAGGUUCUGUAAUCUUCUAAACUUGUGAAAUUAGGAAGGACAGAAUCUGCAGUCAUAAAUUCAUGAGUCCAUAUUUUAAAAAAAAAAGUCACUGGAAACAUGGAUGAACCUUGAAGAUUUUAUGCGGAGUGAAAUAAGCCAGUCACAAAAGGACAGACAUUCUAUUAUUUGUCUUAUGAGGAAUAUGAGUUGUCAGAUUCAUAGAGACAGAAAGUAGAAUGGUGGCUGCCAGAGGCUGGGGGGAGGGGAAAGUAGAGUUACUAUUUAAUGGGGACAGAGGUACAGCUGGGUAAGGUGGAAGAGUUCUGGAGAUGGAUGGUGGUGAAGGCUGCACAACAAUGUGAAUGUACUUAAUGCCACUGACCUGGACACUUGAAAAAGAUACAUUUUAUGUCACGUAUAUUUUACCACAUAUUGUUUUUUAAUCACUGAAGAAGCCAAUAUGGAAAAUGGACUGAAUGUUAAAGAAAAAGACAAAACCCCUUUUUAUUUUACAUCAAGAGAUGAGUACCUAGCUCCAAGGUCAAGGUCUAGGUUGAGAAUGAUCAUCAUGAGCCCUACUAAAGGACAACCACACACAGCUUUAAGAACGCUGUCACACAGCUCACCUUGUAGCUCUCCUUCACUCGAUGCCUAACUCUUCCAGACGUCCCAGUACUGAGGAAGGGUCUCCUCUUUCCAGCUUUGCCCAACCUUAUUCAUAAUAGACAAAUGAAAAGUCCCAGAAACCUGUUCUGUUUGGGAAAGUUUUCUUUUGUUCUAGGCUUCGGUGGUUAAUAUGCUUGACGAAUUUCAGAGUUUCCCUAUCUCUGUAGACCAAGGCCAAAGAAUUGUUUUCUGGAUUCACUGUUAGCAGCUGAAAUAGGCAAAUACAGUGAUACAUCAGAACACGGAGAUUAUAUUCUCACCUCUUUUCUUAAACAGACGGUUCCAUAUCAAAUACUCAGCCUCCAGCAAUAGAGGAUCCUUUAAAGUAUCCUUUACUAGGAGGAGCUAUUGAUCUUGCUGUCCAGACAUUUUCCAAUAGGCCCCAUUCCAGUACAUACCCAGAAAAGUUUUACCUAAUGCAUUGAUUUCUUACUACAUUGAAAGAUUCAUGGGAAUGCACCAUCUGACUCUUAAUUUAUUUGGAAUUUCUUUUAGCUGGGUAGAAUGCUUAGUGAUUAUCCUUUAGCCUCUUUAUUCCAUGCUGAAUACUUUCUACUAGAAAUUAGAACCACUGCCAGCCAGACCAAUGUGGAUUUAUCAGCUAAAGACACUGGCAGAAGGUCGUAAAAGUUGCGUCUCUGAAGAAUGAAAGUGUCUUCAAGAACUAAAAAAGGAUGGUUUGCUAUCAGAAGCAACUUACCUCUUCAUCUUCUCCUUUGGCAAUGUAGGAGGUAAAGCCACCAUACUCUGGCUCCCAGCCUUAUGAAGGGAAAACAAAGAGCAUUCAGAAAGCUCUCACUGCAAGAGUUACAUUGAUCUGUUUGAAUCACUGAUCCCAUGCUGCUUAAAACGGGGAUCUGGGAGUUCAGUAGAACUAACUCUGACUUAUGAGCCUGAAUUUAUCAUUCAACCAACACUGAAUAAGAACUGAAAACUAAGAACUAAAUAUAAAAUACACCUAGAAGGACAAUUACAUAAAAGUGCUGGGGGGUUCAUUAGAUGGAAAUUAUGAUUUAGUUCAUCUCCUAUACCUUGGUCACAGAUACAAAUAGUACUUUGAGUUGGGAGAUGACUGAAAUUCAUGACCCCUAAGAUCCCUUCCAGCAGAGCUCCUGUGAUCUGAGAUCCUGGCCAAGGCGAAUUACUUGUGAUCUUGGUUCAGUUAGAGGGGGUCACUCAGGAGAGACUGUCCCUCUUACCUUCACAGCCACAGUAGAGAAGUAAGUCCAGGGCAAAUUCAGUCUUGCUGUUGUCAUGGAUUAAAGUGUAGUGACCAGUCUUCCAAUGCCUCAGUUCCCCCUGGCAUGUGGGAACACUUGAUUCUAAGAAAAAAAACAACAGAAGGCCAGAAAAAAAUAACCUUGAUACCACUGCAGAUUGCAAAAGAAUGAUAAUUAGGAAUAGUUAUAGCACUAAAGAGAAACUAUUUCCAUAAACCUUCAGCUGACCUAUUGCUCCAUUAUAUUAUUAAAUAUAUAAGCCUUAUAAUGAAAAAAAGUUGACUUUCUAUUUCUCUUUACCAUGAUUUUCAGAUGGAGUAUAUAUUUAGCUGCCAGAAAUUUUCUCUAAAGUAACAUGAAUAUUAUUGUUAACUAAACUUUACUUUUUAGAGCAGUUUACAGAAAAGUUAAGUUUCCCAGAAAGUACAGUUCCUCUACUCCUGCCACACACAACCCCUGCCCCUCCCCAUCAGUUUCCUCUAUUAUUAACAUCUUGCCUUAGUGUGAUUUAUUUGUUACAACUGACCAAUAUUGAUGCAUUAUUAACUGAAGUCCACAGUUUACGUUAGGGUUUGCUCUUGGUGUUGUACAUUCUACUAGUUUAAUGUCAUGUGUCCAUUCCAUCUUGUUUGGAGAUGAUUAAACGUCCUCUGCUUUUAAUAAUUUCCUUCUACCUAUCUGUCCAAAUUCAAGCAAGUUUUUCUUAGGCUGAUAUUGGUUCUUAGCAGAAAGAAGCCACUCACCUUCCUCUUUAUGUUCUUGUGUUUCAAAGUAGGUUUAGGUAACGCCAGUCAUAUUUCUCUCCACCAUCUGUACUACUGUUAGCCUAAUAAAAUGUACUAGCUGUUCUUCCUACCCGGAAUGCUGUCCUAGCAGAUCCUUCUUGUCAUUCAGAUCUGAGCUUGGAUGACAGCUCCUCAGACAGGCUGGUCCAGAUUGCCCAUUCACCUAAGAGGCCACCCAGUCAUUCCUCAGCACAUACCCCUAUUCAGAUUUCCUGCAGAGCACCUAGCCUUAUUUGAUGUUUUCUUGUUGUUCGUGUAUCAUUUAAUCUCUGUCUUCUCCUACUAUCAAUAGACUGUAAGCCAGGGAGAGCAGAGACCUUGUCUGUCUUCUUCUCCAGUUCCAGAAAUAGGGCCUAGCAUAUAGUAGGUGCUUAAGAAAUGUUUGUUGAAUGAAUAAAUGACUGAAUUGUGAAUACCUAAUAGUAAAAGAAGGACAGAACGUAA